UCCGAGAUUUUCUGUGUCCUGACUUCCUGUUCCUCGCGUAAGAGAGGUGCGCUCGAUUUCUACAAAGCAAGUGCCGACGGCUAACAGCUGUGCAAGACACUGUUGCAUGAGAAAAAACAGAAACUGUGCAGUCACCAAACUCCAUGUACUACUAUUAAGGUGUAAUUUGCCCUGCCUGAACAGAGGCAACAGAUGAGAUAUCAAUGAAGGAUACUUUGUACAGCCCCAACCAAUCCUGUUAAGAGGUCUAGCAUUAAGUGUAGAAGCCGACCGCCUGGCUGUCUCUCCACAACAGUUUGCAGCUCUCUGUGCGGGGGUGCAGAGAGAACAACACCUCCUCCCGUGAGGACCUCUCCACUACCUGACUGAGCAGGAACACAAUCACCCUCUCCAUGAU
Molecule: long non-coding RNA, 397 nt
Organism: Epinephelus moara (kelp grouper)
Lineage: Eukaryota; Metazoa; Chordata; Actinopteri; Perciformes; Serranidae
Exons: 3
Source: RefSeq, a predicted model, not a curated record